Molecule: ribosomal RNA, 497 nt
Filed under: uncultured bacterium
Lineage: Bacteria
Description: partial 16S ribosomal RNA
Rfam family: Bacterial small subunit ribosomal RNA
Source: RNAcentral
GAUGAACGCUGGCGGCGUGCCUAAUACAUGCCAGUCGAGCGAACAGACGAGGAGCUUGCUCCUCUGACGUUAGCGGCGGACGGGUGAGUAACACGUGGAUAACCUACCUAUAAGACUGGUAUAACUUCGGGAAACCGGAGCUAAUACCGGAUAAUAUAUUGAACCGCAUGGUUCAAUAGUGAAAGACGGUUUUGCUGUCACUUAUCGAUGGAUCCGCGCCGCAUUAGCUAGUUGGUAAGUUAACGGCUUACCAAGGCGACGAUGCGUAGCCGACCUGAGAGAGUGAUCGGCGACACUGGAACUGAGACACGGUCCAGACUCCUACGGGAGGCAGCAGUAGGGAACCUUACGCAAUGGGCGAAAGCCUGACGGAGCAACGCCGCGUGAGUGAUGAAGGUCUUCGGAUCGUAAAACUCUGUUAUUAGGGAAGAACAAAUGUGUAAGUAACUAUGCACGUCUUGACGGUACCUAAUCAGAAAGCCACGGCUAACUACGUG